This 4096-nucleotide long non-coding RNA is filed under the name Mus musculus (house mouse). RNAcentral's name for it is "long non-coding RNA chr7:91131840-91135936". The record is from RNAcentral. Lineage: Eukaryota; Metazoa; Chordata; Mammalia; Rodentia; Muridae.
GGAGAAAUAUUUGGCAAAGAGGAAUCCAAGAACCGUGUUUGUAUAUUUUUUCCACCACUGCUGGGAAGCCAAUCCUGAGAACAUGUCUUAAGCAGGCCAGAGAAAACUGUUUGCCAAAAUGAUCCCAGCCAGAAGAGUAAAAGCUCAGCCAGGUAAAAAGAAAGAAUGUCUGUAGCAUUUGUUUCUUUCUUUACUGCCGUUACAUUAUCACACAGAGGGAAUGUAAAAGGAUCCAUGCUGGCUGAAGUUGUCUAGAUGAGUGUUGGCCAAGGUGUUUAGAAAACAGUGAUUACGGAAGGUUUCUGCUUGAGAUGAGAUUAAAAAAGAAAAAAAAGAUUUUAAUUUUUCCAUAAAGGACUAAGGUACUUGCAGCAGUAGAGAGCUUUGCUGUUUAGUGCAGUACCUAGUAAGAAUGGUUCAGAGGAAAGAGGAAAGAAAAGUAAAUACUGGAGCCACAGGGGUUAGGCGAGGUAAAGGAGAGAAGAGAAACGACAGAAGCAGAGAGCAGAUUGCACAUCUACCAGUUAGUUAAGGAUUUGAAUUUUGCCUUCACGCCUGAUCUACUUUGGGAAACUUCAGUGUUCAUUCAUUUCAGCAUUUUUUAAGGCAAAAAGUAUCAGUUUUUUAUUCAUUACAGAAAUACAAAGUCAUUUCCUUAUGCCUAAUUUUCAAACAAAGUUUGCUAAUUUUAAACUAUUAAAAGAUCUGAUAGGAAGAAAGAUCUACCUGAUGUAAUCCUGUUGGGAGGUCUUACAUUGCACUCUUACUUAAAUUCUAUUGAAGGGAUGUCUAGAAACAGUCUCAGUAUCAAAGGCCGGUGAGAAAUCUUCAUUCACACCUAUGGUUACCCCCAGAAAUGCUAUGGAAGAGCAAACUACUGAAAAAGACCUUAGAAUACUUGCAGUUAAUGUCUGCAACUGGAUUUUUUUUUUAAAAAAUGAAGAGCCAAAGGUCUCUAAACUGAAUAGUAAGUCAUUUUAUUUGACUUUUUAAUAUUUUGUCUUGGAAUGUUUUCAAAAUCAAGCCUUAUACCAUAUUGUCAAGAGGAGAUAAUAGGAGCCCCUGCAAAUGUCAAGGAAAAGGUCACGGCUGAUAUAUCCGUCUCCAGGUUUGGCUAGCAAGAAAUUUUGUCAUUUUCUUGUCCCCAACUUACUUUUCCCCUUCCUCUCCUAGGUUAGUUUAAAGAUAGGAUACCAGAUCUGGCUCCUGGUUGGUCACAAUAUGCUGCUGUUUUAUUUUGGGUAUAUUCUCAUAUUCUUCGUACAGUUACUUGCCAGUAGAUCUGGCUCACCAAGCUAUAAACUUGGUUUCUUUUUCUGUGUGUUGUCAUUGUUAUUUGUUUGUUUUGCUCCAACUCUAACUUUUGGAAAUUUGCCUUCUAUAAUAGUAGCUGCUCAGCAGUUGUUUGCUGAAAGAAAUGAGUAAAUUGUCUCCUUAAUCAUUCUAUGCAGCAAGUCCAAACACGCUAAAAUAUGGCAAGAAUGUGGGCCAUGCUGAAAUUUCAUGUGCAGGAUCCUCAAAGUCAAGUAGUAUCUGGGCAAGCAUUCUGGGCAUUCUUAAAAACCAAGUAAAAAGGUUAAAAUUUAAAAUUUCAAUGUUGCCCAUGCCCUAAUCUGCUUAGAUGCUCUUUGGAAGAAAUAAACGGUACAGUUGUAGCAUUUACUAUGUGAAGAAAGGGAGUGUUCCAUUCCAUUCAUUCUUCAAACUCUGAGCAAUGAAGCAAGGUGAGAAAAUAUAUUUAUCCUUUAAUGAUCUUAUAUUCAUGGCUGGCUAGAAGGGUGGGAAAUGCAGCUUUGACAACCAUACUACAAAGCAACUACCUCUCAGGCUAUGCAGGUUGCACCAUUUAAUUUUCUGUGCAGAUGGCUGACUGACAUAGGAAGUAGAUUCGAAGUAAGGGACAAGGAAGGCUGGGCACUUUAAUGACUCUGCCUCCCAGUGGGAUUUGCAGUUGGAAGUGAUGGAUGUGAGGAGUGAGCCCUUAACCCCACCAAGGCUUUUGUGUCACAGGCUACCUCAUGAGCCUUCUGCUGCCUUUUUCCUGCACGUUUUCCAGGGUCAGGUUAGGGCUUUCUUUGUUCAUCUUGAUGAUUUCUUUCUCUGGUAUUUGUUGUCUCUCAGGUGAGCUGCAUCUGUUCCAUUUAUUCCAAUUCACUGUGACGAUGACAUUCUUUUUCCCAAGCGAUUCACAGUGUGAUUAUUAUACUGGCUUUUCAAAACUCACUUCAUAGUACCCUUCUUAUUUUCAACUUGCUUGUUAAGGGCCUUUGAAAUUGGCUAAUUUCCUAGGCUGCCACUGAUUUGGAAUUUUUCUAGAAACAUCUGCCAGUAUAGAAUGUUUUAUGGUAAGUGUUUAUCUAUUUAAAUAGCAGAACUCAAGACUCCAAGAAAGUCAUGGAGUUUAAAACAAAUUUACUUUCAAUAUUUUGAUUAAACUAUAUUUUGAACCUAAGAGUUGACACUUUGUAAUAAAUGGACAGUUGCAGCCUUAUUUUUGAAAGAUGACACAUAAAAUAUUCUGAGACAUUGGCAUGCAAUCAUAGGGACAAUCAAUACUAAUGAUUACUCACAGUUGAAACUGCUAGUGGUAAACCUCAAUAAUUUUGCUUUAAACAGCCUCAUUCUAUGACUUCCAUUAUUCAAGACCCAUUUUGUUCCCUACCAAUCAUGUUUGAAAUGUGCUGUAAUAGUAACUUUUCAUUGAUGCAACUCUAAAAGAACCACUUAAAGGAAGAAGAAUUUAUUUUAUUCUUGAAUUCGGUGAUUUCAAUUCAUGGUUGCCUGGCUCUACUGUUUUUAAACAUGUGGCAAGGCAGGAGGGUCAUGGCAUGAGGACAUGGCAGAGGGAAGCUAUUGUCUUCUACUAGCAAGGAAGCCAAGAGAGAAAGGGACCAGAGACUGGAAUGCUAUAUGUGUCUUAGUUCCUCCAAUCAGCCACAUCUCUGAACAUUUCCACCACAUCCCUAUAAUGUCACUUAAUAGGUCCAUCCAUCCAUGAAGUUGUGGUUCAUGUGAUUUCCCAAAAGCUCAACUUCUGUGGAACAGAGGCCAAUUCUUCAGCACAUGUGCCUUAAGACACACUUUUUAUCCAAGGUAUAACAUAUAUAACACGGAUUUGUCACUUAAUUUUGCCUGUCUCUUGACAUUUUUUUGUGGUUAGAAUACACAAACACACACACACACUACACAGCUCCUAACAUAAGAUCAACUCUUGAGUGACCCUGUUUUUACUCAGCCCUGAUUAUAAGCUUACCUUCCUCUCCAGCCAGUUUUUAAAGAUAAAACUGCCUUCUGUUUUCCCAGUAGUUCCUGGUAUUAAAUACAUCAUGUUUUUGUUUGUUUGUUGUUACAGCAAGUAGGCAUUUGGGUAUUCGUAGGGGAUUAGCUGAAUCAAAAGUUAAACCCUAUUUGUGAAGAUAGAUGUGUUAUAAGAAUUUGUCUGAGGAGCAUAUGAUCCUUGUUGGACUUAUUGCUAUUAUAAUGACUAAAACAGACCUGGAAAAUCCUCUGGCCAUCAAAGCUAUUUGCUGAGAAGCCAAGGCAUGCAAGAGGAAGCCUGGAGAAGCAUGGUAUUUCAAGAGGUAAUUUUUGUGGAGGCUUCAUUCUCGUUAUUUGUAGGAGACACUUUGCUCCUAAUAACCAUCCUUCAUUUUAAAAGUACCAUCCAACCCCCAAGUCGUACACAAUUGUGUGCUGUGCCCUUGAACAAAAACAAAACGAGGUCCUAGUCCUUGUUCUACUCCUGGGAGUAAGUUUAAAAUUACCACCACAGUGAACCCAUUUUUCAAGUAAAAAAACCAAUGAAGAAAACUGGCUUGGCUUCUCCUAGUUAACUAAAGGAAACCUUGAUCAUUGCUCACUUGUUAUACUUUUUCUUUUAGCAAAGAUCUUCCACUUCUGUGGUAAUUGAGUAGUUUAUUUCUCAUCAGUCAACAUAGUGAGAUGGAAGCCUGCUAUAUUAAAAAGACCAACUUAACUUAGUUGUAUAGUCUUACGUUAAUUGCUUAACUUGUUUAAAUUUUAGGGACUCAUCUAAAAUAUGGAAUUCUAGAAAAGGACACACACACACACACACACACACACACACACACAAGGC